GAUUGAUAUAAACAUCAUAUAUCAGUCCUAGUUUAAAUAUUUGCAGAUAUAUAGUAUCGAGUUAAUAUUUACUUUUAAUCUCUAAAUAACAUGCAUUCAGUUAUUAUUUGAUAUUAACAUCAUUAUAUAUUUAAAAAAUUGUUUUGAAAAUCAUACACUACCCGCCGCGAAUAGCUUUGCUAAUUGCGGGAUCGUGUAAUCAAAAUG
Molecule: non-coding RNA, 207 nt
Organism: Paramuricea clavata
Lineage: Eukaryota; Metazoa; Cnidaria; Anthozoa; Malacalcyonacea; Plexauridae
Source: the annotation of a GenBank genome assembly